UAAAUAGCCAGGCCCGCUUUGGCGGGUCGCCGGCUUCUUAGAGGGACUAUCGGCUCAAGCCGUUGCAAGUAUUCGCCAAAUCCAGUACUGUGAAGCCCUUAGAUGUUCUGGUCCGCACGCGCGCUACACUGACGGAGCCAGCGAGUUCUCCCUUGACCGGAAGGUCCG
This 168-nucleotide ribosomal RNA is filed under the name Capnodiales sp. RNAcentral describes it as "partial small subunit ribosomal RNA". It matches the Rfam family "Eukaryotic small subunit ribosomal RNA", at positions 1352 to 1544 of the family's 1831-position model. Lineage: Eukaryota; Fungi; Ascomycota; Dothideomycetes; Capnodiales. The record is from RNAcentral.